RNAcentral lists this ribosomal RNA (398 nucleotides) under uncultured bacterium. RNAcentral's name for it is "partial 16S ribosomal RNA". It matches the Rfam family "Bacterial small subunit ribosomal RNA", at positions 523 to 918 of the family's 1533-position model. The record is from RNAcentral.
AUACGUAGGGUGCGAGCGUUGUCCGGAAUUACUGGGCGUAAAGAGCUCGUAGGUGGUUUGUCGCGUCGUCUGUGAAAUUCCGGGGCUUAACUCCGGGCGUGCAGGCGAUACGGGCAUAACUUGAGUACUGUAGGGGAGACUGGAAUUCCUGGUGUAGCGGUGAAAUGCGCAGAGAUCAGGAGGAACACCGGUGGCGAAGGCGGGUCUCUGGGCAGUAGCUGACGCUGAGGAGCGAAAGCAUGGGUAGCGAACAGGAUGUGAUACCCUGGUAGUCCAUGCCGUAACCGGUGGGCGCUAGGUGUAGGGGUCUUCCAGGACUUCUGUGCCGUAGCUAACGCAUUAAGCGCCCCGCCUGGGGAGUACGGCCGCAAGGCUAAAACUCAAAUGAAUUGACGGGG